This is a non-coding RNA of Malus domestica (apple), 1263 nucleotides long. The record is from RefSeq and is a predicted model, not a curated record. NCBI's taxonomy places the organism in Eukaryota, Viridiplantae, Streptophyta, Magnoliopsida, Rosales, Rosaceae.
GUGUGUGCCUGUGGGGCCCACUUGUUUUGGUUUUGUUCUCCGUAGCCUUAGUCCAUCUCUCUCCUUUUUUUCUCCCUCAUCCCAUGUGAACUCAUCUCCCUCACCUCUGCCGGUUUUCCUUUACCUCUCUCAUUCUCGGUGCUCAUCUUCGACAGGAUCACACAUUACAUACACACGACAACCCCGAGGACUUCACCAGCACCCCUAACAUCUAGACCUCCUCCUUUCUCUCUCUCUUUCCCUUCGAUACAUCUCGGCACUAUACAGUCACAGUGCUUGUGACUCCGGCGAGUUUUCAAAUAUUCCGACUAAGAGAUAACUCGGGGGAUUAUAUUUCCAGUUUUCCAGCAAGGUUCUGUGGCUUGCAGGCCAUUUCCCGGCCGAUCCUGAUGUCAACUUCAUUCCAUUUUGGUACAACUCGAAUCCUUAUUCUCUUACCUUUGAUUUGGCCUUUUAAUGGUAGUUUUUGGUUAAGGUUUAACCCCGGAUCGAAGCCAGGGAAGUUUUCUCAGCGAAAACUCAAGAAAACCAGCGUUCUUCUCCGGUGACUCAAGCGGCUUGCGAGGCCCUUGUGCCAUGGAAACCCCCGGCCCUUUAAGGGUAGCCCAAACCCAAACCCCUUGAGUUGAGGCGCUUGGGCCAUUCAGCUAGGGCCUUCGGCCCAUUAACCUAAAACCCAAAACCCUUUUGGCAACCUAGGCCUUGGGUUGUGUAAGAAUCCCAGGCCCAAACCUCUUAAAGCUCAACCCUUUAAAAGCCUAACCCAAACCUUGGAAAGAAUCGGCCCAACCCAACUGAUGGAAUAUUCCUUUAGGGAAUAUUCCCCUGUUGACUUUUCUGAAAUUUAACCGGGACCCUUUUUAGCGUAAUUCGACGUCCUGAAUUCGUUUUUGAUGUCCAUUUUCCUAAAUUCAAUCAUUUGAAUAGAGUUUUAUUGAUUGGACCCUUUAUGUGCUUAGGUACAAUUAUUAACGGCGAUUCUAUCCAGCUUACUUCAUGCAGCUCUUCGACAACGGAGUAUCUGUGAAUGGACCCCUUCUAAAAUGCAUGUUUUAAUAGUAGAAAUGCAUACAUGAAAAGCAUGAUUUAAUAAUUACGUUUUAUGAAACGUUUUAUGAGAUAUUAUGCUUACUACGAAUAUUUUGAAUUAUCAUAUUUUAUCGAACUCAUGUUCUUUGUAGUAUAGAUGAUAGAUGACUUUAUACUGCUUAUGAACAUGCUUUUGCACACUUCUUUAUAGUAUAGAUGAUGGAUGACUUUAUA